RNAcentral lists this ribosomal RNA (253 nucleotides) under uncultured bacterium. RNAcentral's name for it is "partial 16S ribosomal RNA". It matches the Rfam family "Bacterial small subunit ribosomal RNA", at positions 524 to 776 of the family's 1533-position model. The record is from RNAcentral.
UACAGAGGGUGCAAGCGUUGUUCGGAAUUAUUGGGCGUAAAGCGCGUGUAGGCGGCUUUGCAAGUCGGGUGUGAAAGCCCUCAGCUCAACUGAGGAAGUGCGCCCGAAACUGCAGAGCUUGAGUGCCGGAGAGGGUGGCGGAAUUCCCCAAGUAGAGGUGAAAUUCGUAGAUAUCGAGAGGAACACCAGUGGCGAAGGCGAGUCCCUGGACAACUCCUGACACUGAGGCACGAAAGCUAGGGUAGCAAACGGG